Long non-coding RNA from Oxyura jamaicensis (ruddy duck), 679 nucleotides. RefSeq lists it as uncharacterized. NCBI's taxonomy places the organism in Eukaryota, Metazoa, Chordata, Aves, Anseriformes, Anatidae. The record is from RefSeq and is a predicted model, not a curated record. The transcript is spliced from 2 exons.
UUCAGAUUGCAGGGCACGGAAUAUUAUCCUCAAACAAGGGUCUCAUCUGGAGAGCUCCAGGCACGCUGGCAAUGGGCAGGAGAUGCAAUCUUACCCACUUCUGCAUUCCAGACAAGCGGCGCCAACGCUUCAGGACUUGCUGGCUGCAAGGUCAAGCAGCCCCAAAAUGUGCUGGCUGCCCAACAUUCUGGGAUAAAAGAGGUUUGGCACGGCUGAAGUGUGAAGAGCUGAGGAACAGCCCUUCCGCAGAGAUACACUAUCUCCUGAGCAUCCACAGGGACACUCCAGGGUUGAGGCGUUUUCCAACCAAAGGACUGCUCCAUGGCUAAAACUGGAUCCCACUUCAAAGGCUCUGGUUUGGGUUUGGCUGCUUUUGUGUGCUCAGCCUGUGCACGGAGCUGGCUCUCAACCAGCCCGUCUGGAACUGCAGGUAGUGCAAGGCUCGAGAGAGUCGGAGCGCUGGGAGGGCUCAGUGCAUUGGUUCGUCCGAUUUUUAAAGAUGCUAAACCUGAGCUGCAAACAGCUCCAGCUUCCUGGGCUUUCGGACGAGGAUGUUUGGUUCGAGCUGCAUUCAAAGUGAAUGAAUCCUACCCUUUUGCCAGGCAUUGCACAGCCUGGUUUUGGUUUUCUGGGAAUGAUCCACAAGAAAUGAUGCUCUAUCACUUCACUUGCUCAGAAA